This is a long non-coding RNA of Mobula hypostoma (lesser devil ray), 2422 nucleotides long. RefSeq lists it as uncharacterized. The transcript has 3 exons. The record is from RefSeq and is a predicted model, not a curated record. NCBI's taxonomy places the organism in Eukaryota, Metazoa, Chordata, Chondrichthyes, Myliobatiformes, Myliobatidae.
GGCGCAGCCCCGGCGCGUCAGCACGGCCCCGGGGCACAGGCAUCGAGUGGAAAAAAAAACUGCUCGCUGCAGAUCCUACAGCAAAACAAGAAGAACUUUUAAGGCCAAGCAAGAAGAAAAAAAAAAUCCCCUUUUGUCUCUAGACUGACGCAUUUUUACCACCGAAAGAAAUGGAGAGACACAAAGUUGGACUCUCCACAUUUCAAGAUCCCUUCUUGGAUGCACUGAAGAAAUCCUAUUUCAUCGAGGUCUCUUAUAUUAAAGAACUCUCAAUCAAAACUGGACUGUUCACAUGAAGAAGGAAACUGUCUUGCAGUAUUUCAUCAGGAUCUAUUGUUUACCAAAUCACGUGAUCAUCUGGUGGCUUAAUAUUCAGAACCGGAACCAAAAAUAGAGAAUAGUUCAAAGCAGCGAUAUAGAAUUACUGCAAGUAUUUAUCCUGUAGUAAAAAUGCAUGCAGGAUGCAAGCAAAUCUACUUCUCUGAUGCAAAGUAACUACAGACUUUGCAGACACACAUGAAAUACAUUUCCAUUAAUAAUUUAGUGUUCAGUCUUUAGAGAUGAUUUUUAAUUUCAACGUAUGCACAGAUUUCUUGCUAAGAGAAAAAAAAGAUAUUAACUUCCACAAAACAGAUAAAAAGCCAAUUGCCGUGACUGAACUAUGCAGGAGUCAAUCAGUGAAUAAAUCUGGAAGGAAAACCUCAUUACAGUACUGUGAAAACAUUCUUUAGAUUAUUGCAAAUUAAUACACAAUGUAGAGGGUUUGGUGAUCAUUGCCUCAAGCAACUUUCCUGUCGACUUUCUUAAAAAAAAACAGAAGUGGUUCUGAGAUACUUACGGAAGGAAGUAUACCACCAGUUUUCUUUCAGGCCAUGCAGAUUUUCUGGCUGUUUUGAAUAGUUAUAUUUAGAAUGCUUCUUUGUGCUUAUACUUCUUUUUCUUUUAAGCACCAAUACAAUGUUCUUAAUGUUAUCAACUAAAACUAGGAAUAUGUUCACUCCAUUCCAAAUCUAUUGGGAGUUACGACGCUAAGCAAUUCCAUGAUGUCUUGACAUGUUUUAUGACUGUUGAGAAGAUACGUGUAGAAUGUACCCCUAGUGUAUGUUACUGGAUUUCUGCAGCAUAGUUCAAUAAAAAUAAUCAUAAUGCAGCAUCAAGUCUGAUGAACGUUCAUUGAGACCGCUCAAAUGUAGAAAGAUAGUCAAAGAAAAAAAAUCUGGCAAGGUCCAGCAACAGAAGAUUUCAUUUGGAAUGAACCAGUCUCCUUCUUUCAGAAUACUUGACUUACACACUAAUCAAUUUGCAUGAAAUAAGGGACACGAAUGCCAUUGGCCAAUAAGUUAGCUGGAGAACUGAAAACAUAGAUCAAGCCAAUCAGAAGCACAAGAAUGGAUUUUGACUCAAUAGACUAAAAAAGUGUCCAUUGUUUAUAUAUAAUUACAGUAUAAACUUGUAAUUUUAAGUUGUUUUGAACUUGAAGGCAAUGAUGUACAUCACUCACAAGAGACACAGGUCAAGGCAACUGUUUUCUGGAUCAACAUAGGGUUCAGACAGAUUUUCAAAUGUUCCUAAAUACUUUCUUAUAAAAUCUGAAAUCAAAUAAUUAAAUAUUUAAAACAUUAUUUCAUGGGAAAUACAAAAAACACAGUUUGUAAACUUAUGGUUAUGAGAUACCAAUUAGAUCUGCUACAUUCAUAAAAUCAGUUUGUUUGGCUGAUGCCAGCACGUAAGUGCCAUUAUGUAGAAAGCAUGGUAGCACCUCUGCUUCCUUAGAAGUUUACAGAGAUUUCAGCAUGGCAUCUAAAACUCUGACAAACAUUAUAGAUAUGUGGCAUAUAUUGACUGGUUGCAUCACAUCCUGGUAUGGAAACACCAAUGCCCUUGAGCAGGGUAUCCCACAAAAAGUAGUGGAUACAGCCCAGUCCAUUUCCAGCCCACUAUUGAGCACAUUGAUAUGAGCACUCUCAAGGGUCCCCACCACCCAAUUCAUGUUCUGUUCUCACUGCUGUCAUCAGGAAGAAGGUUCAGGAGCCUCAGGAUCUACACCAUCAGGUUCAGUAACUGUUAUUACCCUUCAACCAUUAGGCUCUUGAACCAAAGGGGAUAACUUCACUCACCCCAUCAUUGAACUGUUCCCACAAACUAUGGACUCACUUUCAAGGACUCGUGAUCUCAAUAUUUAUUGCUUAUUUAUUACUUAUUUUUCUGUUUUGAAUUUACCUAGUUUGUUGUCCUUUGCACAUUGGUUGUUUGUCUGUCCAGUUGGGUGUGGUUUUUCAUUGAUUCUAUUGUGUUUCUUGGAUUUGCUGUGUAUGCCUGCAAGAAAUUGAUUCUCGCGGUUGUAAUAUAUAUGGUGACAUAUACAGUAUGCACUUUGAUAAUAAAUUUAUUUGAGCUUUGAUGCUAUUUAGCACAACUUCUG